UGCUCCAAGGAGGGCAGGCCGUCCUGCGC
RNAcentral lists this small RNA (29 nucleotides) under Bombyx mori (domestic silkworm). Its description in RNAcentral is "ovarian small RNA-34166". The record is from RNAcentral. Lineage: Eukaryota; Metazoa; Arthropoda; Insecta; Lepidoptera; Bombycidae.